AGCCGCCGGGAGCACAGCCGCGGGGCAGCCGCCGCCGGACGUAUCCGUGUCCUGGACACCGGAUGGAGGCUCAGCGUCAUUCUGUGAAUGCGGCGACUGGGGGCCGUUAGUGGGGCCCCCCGGGGGCGUGGCCGGCUGACAGACGGCGCCUCCGAGGUGCGGCGGGAGCUUGGGACGCAGUUCCGAGACGGGCUCGUGUUCAGGGGAGGAAAGAGGCCGUGUCUCCCACACGACAAAUCCUUACAGCACUGGUGUCUGGUGCCCCCUCUGCCCCAGUCGGGGUGGAAUAGAGGCCUGUGGCUUUCAAAGGAAGAGAAGGGAAAUGGGUUCUUUAUUACAUUGUUUGACGUUUCCUGGCUCAGUCAUUCAGGUGCUGGGUAACAGGCUGGUGACUGGGACAACAGACAAGUGGAGAUGAAAGAGGCAUGCACUCACUGCCCACCUGUCAGAGCGAAAGCAGCUUCUGGAACGGGAAUCCACUUCGUUUCGGCUUUCUCCUUUUUCCCAGGCCUCCUCGGACACGGUGUUGGUUUGUAAAGCUUCUGACGGUGGGAGCCAAGUGGCUUGUCCGGCCCUGGGGGGCGGGCAGUGAUGACUGAUGUCAGUGAGGGCUGACCAUUUCUCAGUUAUGUGCAGGGGGAAGCAGAGAGGAAAGCAUGCCCCGCACCGCCAGGGAAUCCGCUCCUCAUGUUCACGGUGCGCCCGGGGGGUGCUUUCUUGUGGGUGCAGGGAGAGAGGUGCAGGGGCUCCGCUGCACGGGCCGGUGGCUCCCCUGCGCUGGCCUGUCCCCACUGCCCUGCUCUGGGGCUGACCACUGAAGGUGGGCGUUGGGAAUGGCCCUCCCGGAUCUGUGUUCCUGCACGCACCUGGUCCUGUGGCUCUCAGACUUUGAUUCGGAUCCAUCUUGCUGUCCACACCCACCGGGAAACCAUGGAGGGCACAGAGCACGGGGACGUGGGGGCUUCUCAGCAGACGGUCACUGGCCUUCUAGGAAGGGGAGGCCAGGAUGAGCGGUGCAGGGAGGGGCGCGGCAAGAGCGAGUGGGCUGAGUGGGAGGGGCUGGCUGUGGACCUGGUCACACCGGCACCUGGGGAGCCGUGGGGCCUAAUGGUGGUGGGG
Molecule: long non-coding RNA, 1119 nt
Organism: Hyaena hyaena (striped hyena)
Lineage: Eukaryota; Metazoa; Chordata; Mammalia; Carnivora; Hyaenidae
Exons: 4
Source: RefSeq, a predicted model, not a curated record